Long non-coding RNA from Glycine soja, 265 nucleotides. RefSeq lists it as uncharacterized. The record is from RefSeq and is a predicted model, not a curated record. The transcript is spliced from 3 exons. NCBI's taxonomy places the organism in Eukaryota, Viridiplantae, Streptophyta, Magnoliopsida, Fabales, Fabaceae.
AUAUGCACUUCUUGGGCAAUUCCAUUCCUUUUCAGUCCCUCAAACUUGACUUGCCAGAGUUGCAAGGAGAACCUGAAGAUAUCUCCAAAGAGAAGGCUCGAAUUGCUGCUCUUCAGGUGAAUGGACCUGUGUUGGUUGAAGACACUUGCCUCUGUUUCAAUGCCUUGAAGGGCUUCCAGUGGAUAUAAUUGUUAUUUUUUUUUUUUCAUGCUAUGAAAGUUGGCAUUAUACAACCUGACUGGUUUUGAUUGAAUGUUUGAAACUU